AACUGGCCGGGAUAGCUCAGUUGGUAAAGCAAAGGACU
This 38-nucleotide transfer RNA is filed under the name Begonia cavaleriei. RNAcentral describes it as "partial tRNA-Phe". The record is from RNAcentral. Lineage: Eukaryota; Viridiplantae; Streptophyta; Magnoliopsida; Cucurbitales; Begoniaceae.